RNAcentral lists this unclassified non-coding RNA (288 nucleotides) under uncultured fungus. RNAcentral describes it as "partial contains 5.8S rRNA and ITS2". Lineage: Eukaryota; Fungi. The record is from RNAcentral.
AACGCAACUGGCGCCGGUUCACCGGCAUGCCUGUUUCAGUGUGCUAGGAGAGUAAACCAUCAUUAUAAAAUAUAAUGCGAUUGAGGUACAUUUAUGUUCUUCUUUCGUUAAAUAUGAAGGUGUGAAAGAUGAGUAAUCUCUUACACUGGAAAACGAAGUAGUCAUGCUUGUUCAUGAUCUCGUUUAACCAGUUAUAAAGGUUAUUGCUUAGCUAUAAAUCACAUCUAAUCAAUUAAAUAUCUCCAAAAUUGGCAUCUGAAAUCAGACAAGGAUACCCGCUGAACUUAA